This is a long non-coding RNA of Mus musculus (house mouse), 2994 nucleotides long. RefSeq annotates it as prostaglandin-endoperoxide synthase 2, opposite strand. Lineage: Eukaryota; Metazoa; Chordata; Mammalia; Rodentia; Muridae. The record is from RefSeq and is marked validated. The transcript has 5 exons.
GAGCUGCACCGCCCUCUCCAUCCCUCCAGGCGCCCUGUGGUUCGCUGAGUCUGCGCCUAGUCUGGCGCUCUUUGGGGUCUCCGGUUUCCUCCCAGUCGCGCAUCCAGUGGGGGCCUAAAAGCUCAAGAGUGUCACAGCUUCCCCUCCCGGGAUCUAAGGUCCUAACUAAGGGAAUCCCCUCACCUCUCCCCACUGGGGCGCAGUCUGACGUGCUCGCUGCUCAGAGCACGCACACAGCUACCGGUUAAUUUAAUUUCUUCUAUUUUUAAUGAAAUGAGUGUCCUCUGUCAGGGUCCACAUCUGUACUGGUGGAAUUAGGUUGAAGUCUUUCAUGGAACUACCCUCCGGGUUCUGCAGUCACAGGAGCCCCUGGCACUCGCCUUUCCCAGGGACAGAUGCUGAGCUCCACUUCAUCGGAAUGCUAAGUGUCCACAGCAUUGCUUUAAGGCUGCCGUCAGAAGUUGUGGCCCAGGUUAAAGUUGGAUCCUCCUACCUUAAGAAAUCCAGAGAAGGGGCUGGUGAGAUGGCUCAGCAGGCAUGGGGCCAAGUGGCUUAAGAGAGACGACCAUCACACAGAAGCCUAGAGCCAUAAUAAUGAUGGGUUUAGCUACUUCAUCUACCACACUUCCUGUUGACUCCUUUCUUCCUGUGCUCUGGUGCUGGAACUCUACUGGCCCAGUAGAGAGUCAAAGUCUUAGCUUGGAGAUGGCAGAGAUGAUGGACAUGAUGGAGAUGGAGAUGACAGAGAAAACAUACUUCAGCAUUGAUGAGUAUCUGCUGAAGGAAGGCAUGCUGGGGAGACUAAUGAAACCACUCAGAUGAUAUAAAGUCGCCUUGAAGAUGGAUCUCUGCGCAUUCUUAUGAGGAGACGAUCUUGACUGAGUUGACUGAAGUGGCAAGACCUGACCACUGGGGAUGACAUCAUCCCUUGGGAUGAGAACUAGGAUCUACAUAAAGAGGGAAGUGAGCUGCACUCAGAAAUCCAUGGCCCUCUGAACCCUAAGGAUGGAUGCCACAUGACCAGCUACUCUAAGCACUGGCUGCUCCAACUCCCCUGCCUUCGUGGACAAGACCCUUGCACUGUGAGCUGAAAUAACCCCCAUCUCCCUCGACUGCUUUUGUCAACUGCUUUUGUUUUAUCAAAGCAACAGGAAAAGAAAGUAGCAUGGCAUUCAAUUUAUCAGCAGUAAAUGUUACUGGUAAUUGUACUUUCUUUUUUCAUUUCUGGAUAUCAAGUCUAAGUACUCACUCAUUCUAAAUAAGCCAUCUUCUUCCAAGUUACCGUCCCUUGCCUGACAUUUUUAUGAAACAUUUCUAUGGCAUUUUCCCCCAUAGCCCAAUGUUUCUAUUUAAGGUUUUAUUUAAGUAUUUCCUUUAAGGUUCAACUUUCCCUCUACCAUUUUGGUUUUUUUUUUCCUCCAAAAUGGCCCUUUGUUUUCUUUUUUCACAUUCUUUUCUUCCUAUGCCCAGCUGUAUGCAAAUGAUACAAGCAUUCGUGUUUCUAUUUGAAUGUCUUAUCUGAGUUCCAAUGUCAAUAUGUCAAUAUCUGAAGGGCUGCAUUAUAUCCUUUGAACAUUUCAGUGAUAAGUCACAUGUGGUAUGCCCAAAAAAGAUCUCGUGUCACCCCCCCCCCCCACCUCCCUCAUCUAAUCUGCUUGUCUUUGGACUCCUUUCCAGUAAAUUAUAGCAUGAUACUUUCAUUAUUUUACUUUCAAGUGUUGCAUUUGUGUAAUUUCUCUUCUCUAUACGACCUGCAUCUAGCCAUGAUCUCUCUUUGUUACAUCUUCUCUCUUUUCCUCUUGUCUGUUCACCAUUUCAUCCCAAGCAAUUAGUUUUAGUAAAAUAUUGACAAGCCAAUGCUUUCAGACAAUUCUUAGGAAAACAGGAGAAAAAAGUAUUAUAAUCACAACACUUGGCAGACUGAGUCAGGAUGUUUAUCAGGAGUCCAAGGCCAGUGUAGGCUUCAGAGUGAGACUGUGUCCAAAGAUAAAAUAAGGAUCUAGAUAGAUGGCUCAGGGAGUAAGAAUACAGGUUUCUCUUAGAGAGGGUCUGUUAUGUCCCAGCAUGUUCAUGAUAGCUUGUAACCAUUCAUAAUUUCAGUGCUGGGAAGUGAUCCCAGGUUCUUCUGCGAGAUCAGCAAGUGAUCUUAACAACUGAGCAAACUACCCACACCCAUUGUUACCAUUUAUUUAUUUACCAAAUGAAGAAUUUAUAUCCUUUAGGUAUCUGUAUAAAAAAAUUCAAGAAUCUUAAUUGUAACUCCUAUGUCAUUACAGAGGUUUUCCUUUUUAUCCUCUUUUAAAGGAUACACUUAUUUUUAAUGUAUUGUACGUAUGAGUGCCUGCAUGUAUGUAUAUACACCAUAUGUCGGUCAGAUACCUGAGGAAGCCAGAAGAGCAUACCAGGUCCCCUGGAGCUGGAAUCACAAACAAUCCUGUUAGCAUGUAGGUGCUGAGAACCAAACCCAGGUUCUCUCAAAAGCAAUAAGCACUCUUACUGAAUGAAGAAUCUGUUUAGCCCCUGUUUGUCUUCUUAAGGGUCCCAUGGCAGUUGCCCUGUAUGCUUAUUUGUGACUACAUAUGCAAGGAACAUCACUACAACUAGAAUGCAUGCUUCAUCAAAAAGACCCUCCUGUAGAAUCUUGUGUUUGAAAGCUACAUCUGCUGUAAGACCAUUAGAGAAGAGAAGACUCACUUCAGUUCAAUGGUUUGUAUUCAGAAGUCCAGGAUUGAGAACUAAGUAAACAAUGGUGGCCCUUAAAGAGAUAGAGUGUUUUUCACAGUGCUGUAUAUUCCACCAUAGUCAUCUUGUAUUGCAUUAAUCAGAAUCAAGAAUUUAUGACUGAGAAGCACAUCAUUGCCAUAAUUGCAUUAACUGUAAAGACAAUUUUAGUGACAUGACACUGUCACAGACAAAGCAAACCCACAGAUAUAGUAUAGCAGAUUAUGAAGACUUAGAUUGGAGUCUGACUCUCUGGUAGUCUUUAGCUUAGGG